AGUGCUUUAUGGACUGUUUAAAAUAUUCUGAUGGAUACGCAUGUUGUGCAACUGGUGAUUGAAAAUAGGCACCUGGUAACCCAAAAAUGAAAAUAUGGUUGUGAAUGCAUUUACCGGUCAUUCUGAUAUUAAUGCCCGCUAUGGGAACACAGGAUGGCCGGGCAGUGAUAGUUGUUCCUUUCCAUCACUCGUUGUGUUGAUUUCAUCAUGUCCAUUAGGUGAUGUUUUUUCACUAUAGAAUCAUAUUGCAAAUGCACGUGCAUUGUUGUGCAACUGGUAACCCAAAAAUAAAAAUAUGGUUGUAAAUGCAUUUACCGGUCAUUCUGAUAUUAAUGCUGGCUAUGGGAACACAGGAUGGCCGGGCAGUGAUAGUUGUACAUUUCCAUCACUCGUUGUGUUGAUUUCAUCAUGUCCAUUAGGUGAUGUUUUUACACUAUAGAAUCAUAUUGCAAGUGCGCGCGCAUUUGCAAUAUGUUUCAAUGUGCAUUUACCAUAUGAAAUUUGACAUGCUCAAAAAUGCAAAAUUGACUGGUCUGAUGGACACAGGAUGGCCGAGCAGUGAUAGUUGUACAUUUCCAUCACUCGUUGUGUUGAUUUCAUCAUGUCCAUUAGGUGAUGUUUUUUUCACUAUAGAAUCAUAUUGCAAAUGCACGUGCAUUGUUGUGCAACUGGUAACCCAAAAAUAAAAAUAUGGUUGUAAAUGCAUUUACCGGUCAUUCUGAUAUUAAUGCUCGCUAUGGGAACACAGGAUGGCCGGGCAGUGAUAGUUGUACAUUUCCAUCACUCGUUGUGUUGAUUUCAUC
Oncorhynchus keta (chum salmon) is the source of this 803-nucleotide long non-coding RNA. RefSeq lists it as uncharacterized. NCBI's taxonomy places the organism in Eukaryota, Metazoa, Chordata, Actinopteri, Salmoniformes, Salmonidae. The transcript has 3 exons. The record is from RefSeq and is a predicted model, not a curated record.